GGUUCCUUAGCUCAAUUGGUCAGAGCAGUUGGCUGUUAACCAACAGGUUGUAGGUUCAAGUCCUACAGGUUCCG
Molecule: transfer RNA, 74 nt
Filed under: Crassvirales sp.
Lineage: Duplodnaviria; Heunggongvirae; Uroviricota; Caudoviricetes; Crassvirales
Description: tRNA-Asn
Rfam family: tRNA
About the family: Transfer RNA (tRNA) molecules are approximately 80 nucleotides in length. Their secondary structure includes four short double-helical elements and three loops (D, anti-codon, and T loops).
Source: RNAcentral